This is a long non-coding RNA of Nicotiana tabacum (common tobacco), 11922 nucleotides long. RefSeq lists it as uncharacterized. Lineage: Eukaryota; Viridiplantae; Streptophyta; Magnoliopsida; Solanales; Solanaceae. The record is from RefSeq and is a predicted model, not a curated record.
GCUGAUAAAUCGGGGUUGAAGACAAUCCGACCCGUAUCUUGGUAGGGCAAACCGGUUCUAUUGCAGCCAUGGCGUGUUGUCGUCUUCUCUUUGCCCCAUUUUACGCAGAUCUGAGCCUCAACUUCCAACUAGUACAUCUGGACUUCUCGGGACUCUAACCAAGAUCUGGACUUUUGGGGACUCGAACCCAGCAUCUCUCGUUUGGUGAAACCCAAACGAGAAAAGGAUUUUCAAGCAAAGCAGCAAAAAGACAUAGAAAAGGAGGGUUAUUUUCUUGACUACAGGCUUCCAUUAGAUUCUCUUAUUAUAGAGUGUUUUACUACACAAAAAUGGAAGUUCAGCCCAGUAAGAAGAAUGAUGCCACCAGAGAGAAAAGGGAAUUCUUGGAGGGUGGUUGCCCCCUCUGUUUGGCCUAUGAUUUCUUCAUCAAUAAAAAACCAACAACCCUCUUCAGAAAUACUAGUACAUGUUUUCUGACCUCUCUGAGCUUAAGCCAGAUAUAUAUCCUCUAAUCUUGGCAUUUGUUUGUCAAAAAUUGCUUGAAAUUGUCCAAACGCCUACUACGGAAAAGUUCCAAUCUCUCCAAAGAGGCAGUGAUGAUAUUGCUAAUCUGGGCUGAUAAAUCGGGGUUGAAGACAAUCCGACCCGUAUCUUGGUAGGGCAAACCGGUUCUAUUGCAGCCAUGGUGUGUUGUCGUCUUCUCUUUGCCCCAUUUUACGCAGAUCUGAGCCUCAACUUCCAACUAGUACAUCUGGACUUCUAGGGACUCUAACCAAGAUCUGGACUUUUGGGGACUCGAACCCAGCAUCUCUCGAUUGGUGAAACCCAUUUGGGUUAUUCAGUUUCUCUUGAAACCUUGUUGCUAUUCACAUCAAACUUCUAGCUAAAAGAAUGAGGCAAUUGGGGAAAAAAGGGAUCAUUUAGGGUGGUUGACCAUCUCCGGCAUGCCUAUGAUUUCUAGUUUAAUUUAGUUCUGAAAAACAACUGUUGAUUAUGUGUGUGUUGGGGAGUGUGUUUUAGUUCUAAAAAACAACUGUUGUUGAUUAUGUGUGUGUGUGUUUAACCAAACGCCAUACAUUGAGGACUAUUUUGAUUAUUUUCUCUGUGUUUUCUGUUAUUGUUAUGCUAUGUUCCUCACAGGCUACAAUCUAUGGCAAAGCAACAGCAGAAACAUUGAAAAGGAAAAUGAUGGAGCUGUGAUGAUUGAUUGUUAUUGAUCAUAUGGAACCUGGCGUUGUAGUUUCAGGCCUGUAUCUUGGCGGGGCGGCCCGUAUUAUAGGGUUUGCAGCCAUGGCAGUGUCAAAGAACUCAUUGCCUGAGAUCAAUUACUUAUCGGAGCCUCAAGUCUUUCUGAAAUGGCUGAAUACAUCGACGGCCCCUCAAACUUGCCGGAAAUUUUCAUUUCGACACCUGACUAAGGGUGGUUCAUAGACCACCUGAACUCGUGCCAAACUGUGUCUAUUAAACACACGCUGCUGAAGUUGUCCAAACAGGCUAUUCUUGAAAAGUUAACAUUUUCCAGAAGAGGCAGGAAUGAUAUUGCUAAUCUAGGCUGAGGCAUGGAGAAAAUCCACCCCGUAUCUUGGCAUGGCAAAUCCCGAUGGCUUGUGAUUCGGGUUUCUCUUUCACAUGCAACCAGUUCUUUUGCAUGGCAUUGUAGCCUUCUCUUUGCCCCAUUUCAAGCAGAUCUGAGUCUCAACUUCCAAUUGCUCUUUAGAUAGGGUCCUAAAAGCGGCUAUUUAUGCACUUCCCCUAUUUUACAGCGUUGGGAAAAUCCGACCUGUAUCUCGGGCAACCCGGUUUGACAUCAUUUGCUAGUCGGUGUCUGCAGUCAUGGCAUGUGUCGCUUUCUCUUUGCGUAGUUCAUAGAACACCCAUUUGAUGUCUUGACUCUUAAAUGGAUGGCCGUUCUCUGGAACCGGAACACACUGUUGGGUUCUUCAGUUUUUCCUUGAACACCCCAUUUCAGAUGCUGCUCUCCUUGAAAUUUCUAGCUAAAAAAUGAGGCCAUUGGAGAAAAUGGGGAUUUUCAGGGUGGUUGACCAUCUCCAACAUGCCAGUGAAUUCUUUUUUGCUCUAAUCAACAGCCCAUUUUGCAUAUGUAUGAUUGUGUGUAUAUAUGUGUAUUGUAUGUCUGUUUCUUUCUUUCUGUCUGUCUAUCUAUCUACGACUACUCUGCCUCUGCAUGUCUGCUUUUUCAGGCGAAGCAUAGAGGAGGGAGGAUUAGUUUCUUAAGUGCAGACUUAAGGGGUCUCUUCGGUUAAAUUCUCUCUUAUAAAUCAGAGAGUGUUUUACUUCACAAAAUGGAGGUUCACCCCAGAACGAAGAAUGAGGCCAAUAGAUAGAAAAAGGGAAUUCUUCCGAGGGUGGUUGCCCCCUCUGCUUGGCCUAUGAUUUCUCCAUUAACCAAACCAACAACCCUCUUCAAAAGUACAACUACUACUGUUUCUGAUUUCUCUGAGGUAAAACCAAACAUCCUCUGAUCUUAGUGUUUGUUUAUCAAAGAUUGUUUGAAUUGUCCAGAUGUGUUUACUGUGGAAAAGUUUCAACUUUUCAAAAGAGGCAGUGAUGAUAUUGCUAAUACUGGGCUGAUAUUCGGGGGCAUGGAGACAGUCUGACCCAUACCUUGGCAUGGUAAACCCGGAUGGUUUGAGAUUGAGGCCUUCUCUGUCGCAUGCAACUGGUUCUUUUGCAGCCAUGGCAUUGUCGCCUUCUCUUUACCCCAUUCUUUUGCAGGGUAACCCGGAGAGGGAGCAUCAAUGGCUGUUUUUGAUAAACUCAAUGCCCGAGUAAAUUGAAAUCUGAGCCUCGUUAAGUACAUGAUGCACAUUAUAUUGUCUGUAUAUUACAUAUAUAGAUACACAUGCAAACAUAUCAUGAGAAAAUGUCCAAAAUGGUCCCUUAUCUAGGCAGUGAUGAUCCUGAGUUAUUAAUUGAGCAUUGAGAGACCCGACCCGUAUCUUGGCAGGGCGAUGACCCUGAUACUUGUGAUUUGUAAAAAAUUGCAUGCAACCGGGGGAUAUUUGCAGCCAUGGCGUGUCAGGACUUUCUUUGUCUGGCAUAAAUACAGAUCUGAGCCUCAGUUGUCACUUAUAUCUUACUUUGGGUGUAUUUGAUAUGGAGGAAAUUGUUUCAGUGAAGCAGCCCUCGAAGUGGCUACCAUGGUGUCAUUUCUACAAAUAAGACCUUUCACAUGAAUAAUUUUGGGAAUUUGAAGCGGAAGGCGAUACGGAAAUGGCAAAAAUCUCAUUAGUUUAAGUCUGAGGCUGCUGGAUUUAGAGAGUUUUGGUGAGUUAUUUGAGUGGUUGCCCCUCUCUGUUAUUCUUAUCAGCCAGUGAUCAGUCAAAUGUUCCCCAAUUUCCAACUAAUAUUUAGCAAAUUAAGUUCACUUAGGCAGUGAAGAUUUUCACUCUUUAUUCAUCAAUUGGUUGAGCUUUGCUAUAUCUUGGCGUGGCAGCUUUUGGUUGGUCUUGUGAGAUAUGUGAGCUAUUUUUGUUUCCGUGUCUCACAAAGGCUUCUCAUUAAGCUUGCAGCCAUGGCGGAGUUUAGCUUGUGCUUGAGAAGAGGAAAGUCUGAGCCUCCCAAGUAUAACAACAAACCAAGUGAAAUCCCACAAGUGUGGGGUUUGGGGGUUAGUGUGUAUGUAGACCUUACCCCCAUUUUGUAAAGGUAGAGAGGCAAGCAAAACUUGCUACUGAAUAUCAAAGCGAGGUUUCGAUCAUGUGACCUGUGGGUCGUGGGGCCACCACGCUUCUCAAGUAUCUGCAUGUUAAAGAAUGAGGCUUUUUGUGGUGGAAGUCGAGAAAGAUUGAGAUUUUCUAAGGGUGGUUAGUCUCUUUCUCUGAAGUUCAGUAUAGCCGAUGAAUUUUCCAGUACUUUUGUUACAAAGAUAAAGAUUAACAACCCUUUCAUCAGCUAAUACCAAUUAUGUUGUUGGUGAUGAUGACGACGACGAUAGCCAUGGUUAUGGCAAUAAGGGAAAAUACAUAUUCUGCUUCCUAAACUUGUCCAGGAAAACCUGAAUCCUUAACCCUGAACUUUGUGAAUGAGGCUACGAUGAUGUUCUCCCGGAAGCUUGAAAAUCAGAUUUUUGAGCUGAUUUGUUUCUUGGCUAGGCAAAGGCGGGAAUUUGUGAGGUAGUUUCUUAUGUGCUUCUCACAAAGGCGUCAGCUUUUGGCAGCCAUGGUGGAUUACCUCUUUGUUCUGAUAGAUUUUUAGGCAAAUCUGAGCCUCUUUUCUGUUUGGAGUUUAGUUCUACAAUGGGUGGUUCUUUCCUUUCGUUCUUUUUAUGACCAUGUUUUGUAAUAUUCGUAUGAGAUGAGUCUAAAAGGAGCAACAUGGUCAGUCAGUGUUGUGCAUAGCACGUGUGUUUGUUUUUCCUCCUCUUGAGCAAUUGUACAGAAGAGGCAGUGAUGAUGAUGUUUCACUUUUUGGGCUAGCUGAAUCAGGGACUUGGACAACUUGACCCGUAUCUUGGCCUGGCAAAUCACUGGAUGGUCGGCAUUUGAGGUUCUCUCUUUUGCAUGCAACCAGUGAUUUUGCAGCCAUGGCAUGGUUGACUUCUUUUUGCCUGAUAUAAAUGCAGUUCUGAGCCUCAAAUUCUGGGAAUCGAAAUGGGUACUCUUGUUCUUUGAAUCCAUUAGAAGUCAAGGAUACAGUGGUACGAGCCCAUAGACCAGACCCUGUUCAAAUUAAGGUUGUCAUUUUUUUGAUAAGGAAAAGUGAUGGACCUAUGGAUCGUGGUAUAAAUUAAGGUUGUCAUUGAGAUCCAUUAAUGUCUGCUUCUAAAUUUUAACUCAAGCUCCGGAUCAUAAGAAUGAGGUAUCAGAAAAGUUAAAACACCGAGGGUUUGGCGGAACACUUAUUAUAAGUUUAGCCCAGAAAGGAAGAGUGAGAUAUCAGAGAGAGAUGGGAUUUUCUGUGAAGGGUGGUUGUCCCUCUCUGCUAUGACCAUGAUUUCUCCAUUCAUGAAACCAACAACCCUUGAAGUAAAAAAAGAAACAAGCAAAUAGCCACUUCCUCUGCUUCUGCUGCGAUCACUACUGAUUUACACAGAUAGCCACCCUUAUGGCCUUGUAUUUAGAAGGCCACAACUGAUUUGCACAAAGAGGAUACGGAUAUAUGCUGUGAUGAUUGCUUCUUUCUGAGCUACCUACUCUCAGCAUUGAGAAAAUCCGACCUGUAUCUUGGCAGGGCAACCCAGUAUGGCAUCAUUUGCAAACUGGUGUCUGCAGUCAUGGCAUGUGUCGCUUUCUCUAGGCAUAUUCAUAUACAAAAAAAUCUGUGUCCCAAAAUCUACGGCAACCUUUGAUGGUCUUAAAUGGAUGGUCGUUUUCGGGAACUGGAAACCCACUUGGGUUCUUCAGUUUUUCUUUAACGCACCCCAUUUCAGAUGUGGUUCUCUAUCAAUUUCUUAGCUCAACGAAUGAGGCAGUUGGAGAAAAAUGGGGAUUUUUCAGGGUGGUUGACCAUCUCUGGCGUGCCUGUGAUUUCUAUUUUCUUUUAGCUCUAGCCAAGAGCUCUUUUUGUUUAUGCAUGUGUUUAUGUAACCAACCCCCAUAUAUUAAGGAUCAUUUUGAUCAUUUUCCCUCUGUUUUCUGUAACUGUUACAGUCUGUUCCUCAGAGGCUGCGGCUGCGUUUCCAUGGCAAAACAACAGCAAAAGCAUACAACUUGAAAUGGAAAAGGGAAAAUAAUGGGGCUUUGAUGAUAAUUUUACUAAGCAAAUGGCAUCGGGCAUUGUUGUUUCAGGCCCGUAUCUUGGUGGGGCAAUCCAUAUUAUAAGGUUUGCAGCCAUGGCAGUGUCAAAUAUCUCAGUGCCCGAGUUAAAUCACAGAUCUGAGCCUCAAAAUCUUUCAUCCAAAUCAUCUCUAAUGAGCAAAAUGAGAUGAGAGUUAGCCCAGAAAGAAGAAUGAGGCCAACAGAGAGAAAAGGAUUUCUUGGAGGGUGGUUGCGCUCUCUGUUUGGCCUAUGAUUUCUGCAUAAACCAAACCAACAACCCUCUUUUUUUUUUUUUUUUUUUCCAAUUGGUAUAUUUAGGGGUGUUCAUGGUUCGGUUUAGUUGACCAAAAGAGAAGGAAAAUAUCAGUUGCCAUUGAUGUGAUGCUGAUAGCAAUAGUAUUCUCUCCGUUCAUUUAUGUGUCCUGAAACUGUCCACAAAUUGCUAUGCCAAAGUUUUCAUCUUUCCGAAGAGGCAGUGAUGAGAUUGCUAAGCUGGUUAUUAUUCGAGAAAUGGAGAAAACCCGAAUCUUGGCGGGGCAAACUCGGAUCAUGCUACUGGUUCAUUUUGCAGCCAUGGCGUUGUCGUCUUCUCUUUCCCCCAUUUUACACAUAUCUGAGCCUCAAUUUCCAGUCUUUAAAUAGGGGUCCUGAAAACGGCUAUCUGUGCACUUCCCCCACUUUACUGUGCUGAGAAAAUCUGACUGGUAUCUUGGCAGGGCGACCUGGUAUGGCAUCAUUUGCACACCGGUAUCUGCAGCCAUGACGUGUGUUGCUGUCUCUUUGCUUGUUCAUAGAAAAGCAAAAUCUGGGCCCUAAAACUUUUAGGGCAACCAUUUGAUGAUCUUGAAUUGGACGGCCGUUCUCUGGAACUGAAAAACCAAAUUGGGUUCUUCAGUUUUUCAUGAACAUCCCAUUUCAGAUACAGUUCUCCGUCAAAAUUUUAGCUAAUAAAUGAGGCAAUCGGAGAAAAAAUUGGAUUUUUUCAGGGUGGUUGACCAUCUCCAGCAUGCCUAUGAUUUCUUUUUUGUGGCUAUAAUCAACAGCCCUUUUUGCAUAUCUAUGAUGUGUGUGUGUAUAUAUAUACAUGUAUUGUAUGUCUCUUCUGUCUCUCUAUCUAUCUGCGACUACUCUGCUCUUGUGUGGCUGCGUUCUUAAGGCAAAUCAGCACAAAGGUGUUUGCCCCUCUUUGCUAUGUCCCGUGAUUUCUCCAUUCAUAAAACCAACAGCCCUUUGAGAAAAAAAGAACAAGAAAAGGAAUAUGAUAAACCAUUCCAACGACACCCCUUGAGUAUUUACUUCUCUAAAAAGGGCUUUGCUCUUCUUUUCUCUGCUUCUGCUGAUUUACACAAAUAUCCACUUUUAUGGGUUUGUAUUUGAAAUCCACGACUGAUGCUGAACUUCAUAGAUCCAGAAAAUUUCACCUUAUGUCCCUUUUGAGAGCAGGUGUUUAAUAAUGAUCAUAUAUGUGCAAAUCUCCCUCACAGAUCACCUGAAGUGGGCUAUGAUGAUUGCUUCUUUCUGGGAGUCUUUUGCACAGCAGUGAGAAUUGGCCCGGAAGGAAGAAUGAGUCCAACAGAGAGAAAAUGGAUUUCUUCGAGGGUGGUUGCCCUCUCUGGCUGGCCUAUGAUUUCCCCCCCAACCAAACCAACAACCCUCUUCCUUUUUUUUCUUUUCCCAGUUGGUAUAUUUGUGAAAUUACAUAGCUUUUUAAGCAAAAGCGAGAAUUUUGAGGCUGUGAUGAUACUGUCUUCUCUUCUUUCAUGAGCUAAUCAAUUGGUCAAGAGAAGUAAAGGGACUCGUAUCUUGGCUGGGCAAACCGGAUGACAAGUGAUCUUUGUGUCAUGCAACCGGUGUUUGCAGUCAUGGCGAUGUCUUCAUUCUCUUGUCUUAUCAACAGAUCUGAGCCUCCAUUUUACUCUUAUAGCUUGUUUGGAUGGUUGUUACCCAGUGUAUUGUAUUGUUAUUUUAAAAGGGCGUCUUUGGUAUGAUGGAAAACAUCAGUAUUUGGUUACUGAUGUACAACUCUGAGAAGAAGAAAGUUCAGAAUCAGGUGAGAGCCGAGAAUUUUCCUAAAAAAAAGUUGGCCCGGAAAGAGAAAUGAGACUAACAGAGUGAAGGGAUUUUCUGUUAAGGGUGGUUGCCCUUCUCUGUUAUGACAAUGAUUUUCUGUAGCUACCAAACCAACAGGCCCUGUUCAUGAAAUGCAGAGAAACAUCAUAUGCUUUUUCAGUGUACAGCUUAAGCCAUGGACCUCUGUGUAUGUGUGUUUCUUUUUCCUCCUUCGGAAUAAUUUUACAAAAGAGGCAGUGAUGAUAAUAUUCUUUCACUUUCUGGGCUAAACAAAUUGGACAUGGUGGACAAUCCGUAUCUUGGCCUGGCAAUUCCCUUGUUGUGCAUGCAACUGGUAUUUUGCAGCCAUGGCGUAGUUGCGUUCACUUUGUCCGUGCAAAAUGCAGUAUCUGAGCCUCAAAUUUCUGAAAUGCAGUAUCUGAGCCUCAAUACCCUUGUUGUUUUUGUUGUUGCUUUGAGUCGAGGGUCUAUCGAAAACAGCCUCUCUACCGCCACCUGGUAGGGGUAAGGGUAAGGUGUGUGUACACACUACCCUCCCCAAACUCCACUUGUGGGAUUCCACUGGGUUUGUUGUUGUUGUUGGUAUAUUUGUGAAAUUUUCCCAUAAAAGAAGGCAAAUAUCUGUGCCAUUGAUGCAAUGCUGAUAGCAGCAGUAGUAGUACUCCCUCUGUUCCAAUUUAUGUGCCUUGAAACUGUCCAAAUUGCUAUGGAAAAGUUUCUGUCUUUCCAGAGAGGCAGUUUUGAUAUAUUUGCUAAUCUGGGCUGAAAUUCGGGGCAUGGAGAAAAACAGACUUGUAUCUUGGCGGGGCAAACCCGGAUCAGGCAACUGGUUUUGCAGCCAUGGCGUUGUCAUCUUCUCUUUGCCCCCAUUUUACACAUAUCUGAGCCUGAACUGCGAUGAGUCAUUGUGGAAUUUGCAGGAUUUGAACCAAAUGGGAAACCAUUUCAGUUUAGCUCAAAAAAAAAUGAGGCAACAGAGAAAAAUGAGGAUGUCUAAGGGUGGUUGACCAUCUCCGAUAUGCCAAUGAUUUCUCCUUUGCUCUAACCAACAGUCCUUUUAGAGUAUGUACGUCGGCGAAGUGCACAUAUAACGGUUUUAGGACUCCUAUUUGAAGAAAGACGAAAAGUGAUAGCAUCUUACAGUCUACAGAUUAAUGAGGCUCAGCCCAGUAUGAAGAACGAGGCCAACAGGGAGAAAAGGGAAUUCCUUGGAGGGUGGUUGCCCCCUGGUUUGGCCUAUGAUUUCUCCAUCAACCAAACCAACAACCCUCUGCAAAUGUGAUGCUGAUAACAGUAGUACUAUUCAAUGUUCUGAUAUUUCUGAGCUAGCUUAGACCAAAUGUUUUUGGUCCAAAACAUCCACAGAUCUGAAAUUUCCACUUGUUUUUUUUGAAAUUCUCCAAACAGGCUCUUAUUGAAAAGUUCCCGUUUUUGGAAAGAGGCAGUGAUGAUAUUGAUUGUCUGGUCCGAUAUUCGGCGCAUAUUGAUAAUACAACCUUGGGCUGUUUUAUGAACCAAACAGCAAGAGAUCAAUGUAAGGACAGGGAGAAUUUAUGCUGUGAUUGUAAUGCCGUUUUCUUUUUUGAGCAAUUUGGGUUAGGCGUUGAGAUGAUAACAGCCAUAUCUUGGCGGGGUAACGUGGGAAGGUUGCAGCAAUGGCGGUUUCUGAUUAAACCCACUACCUGAUUCAAUUGAAAUCUGAGCCUCUUAUGUACAUGAUGCUCAUGUAUAUUGUCUGUAUACUACAUACCUAUAUACAUAUAUGUGUAUAUAUAUAUACAUAUACAUACAUACAUACAUAUAUACAUAUACAUACAUACAUAUAUGUGUAUAUACAUAUAUAUAUAUUUACAUAUCAUGAGAAAAUGUCCAAAAUGGUCCCUUAUCGAGGCAGUGAUGAUCUUUCAAUCUAUCCUUCUGAGCUAGUAAUUGGGCAUCGAGAGUAACCGGCAUGUAGCUUGGCUGGGCAAUGACCCAGAUGCAUGUAUUUUCUUACAUGCAACUGGGGGUAUUGCAGCCAUGGCGUGGCUGGACUUUCUUUGCGUGAACAUGAAUAAGAUCUGAGCCUCAAUUGUCCCUUAUAUUUGACUCUGGCUGUAUUUGACAUGGAGGAAACUGUUUCAGCAAAUAGAUGAAGCAAAAGAUGAAACAAAAAUGGCAAAAGUUUCAUUAAUUUAUGUCUGAGGCUGCUGGAUUGAGAGAGUUGCGGAGAGUUUUGUGAGUGGUUGCCCCUCUGUCAUUCUUAGCAGCCAAUGAUCCACUCAAAAUUUCCCAAUUUCAAACCACUCUUUAGCAAAAUAAGUUCACUUAGGCAGUGAAGAUUUUCAUUCUUUACUCAUCAGAUGGUUGAGCUGAGCUUUGCUAUAUCUUGGGGGGGCAUCUCUUUGGUGGUCUUGUGGAUAUUGAAGCUAUUUUUUGUUUCUGUGUCUUGCAAAGGCUUGUUAAGCUGGCAGCCACGGCGGGGUUUAGCUUAUGUCUGAGAAAAGGUCAAUCUGAGCCUCCCAAAUAUCUUUUUGUGUUCAAAGAACGGGGAUUUUUAUGGAACUCGGAGGAAGGUUGAGAUUUUUUAAGGGUGGGUACUCUGUUUCUCUGAAGUUCAAUUUAGCUAAUGAAUUUUCCUGUAGUUUUGUUAUAAAGAGAAAGUUUAACAGUCCUUCAAGAGAAAAUACAUAUUUUGCCCCGCUAAACUUGUCCGGGAAAACUCAGAAUCCUAAACCCUAAACUUUGUGAAUGAGGCUGUGAUGAUAUUCUCCAGGAAGCUUUAAGACCAGAUUGGCUGAGCAAAGGCAUGGGAAUUUCUGAGGUUGGUUCUUUAUGUGCUCUCUCAGAAAGGCAUCUGCCUUUUUCAGCCAUGGUGGAUUAGCCCUUUUUUCUGAUAGAUCUUUAUGCAAAUCUGAGCUUUUUUCUUUCAUUCUUUGUACGUUCAUGUUCUUUCUUCUGCAUAAUAUCAGGAAGAAUCCUCAUUUCAAAAGAUAUGAAACAAGUCGAAAGAGAAAGGAAGUGAAUAUUAAGGAUUCAUACUGUCUUUAACCAGUUUGAUAUUGAAGCUAGUUGUUGCUGCAGUUAUCUACGCUAUAUUCAAACUUUCAUGCCUUUGUUUCAAUCUUGAAUACUUGAAGUUUCAGAGGCAGUGAAGAUUAUAUACAAUUGAAAAUGAAAAGUGAAGAAGAUUAGAGUUGAUUCUUGGCCUGGCUUGGUGAGUCCAAUCGGAAGGUCUUUCUUAUAAGGCAACCGUAGAUUGUGCAGCCAUGGCAGUGUUAGCUCUGUUCUUUUUUCCUUUUCUUUUUUUGAUUAAAUAGGCGAAAAUCUGAGCCUCAUUCUUAAUGUAGUUUAUUUACAAUUUUUUUACUAGUCUUUCUGGAAAUAGAUUUAGAUUACCUUCAUUGUGGAACCACGGAAAUCAACAGCUCCGGCUUCCAACUCUAAAUCCUAAAGGGAAAUGGAGUUUCUGCGUUGAGUACAAGCAUUUGUUUUAUUGCCAGUUCUAGUGGCUUUCAUUGAUCUGGAUGAGGAUCUUGAGUUUUCUCCUUCGGACUUAAAAUUCGGUCUUGAUUGGGUUGAUGGUAAUUGGAUCUGCCCGCAUGAAAAGAUGGAAUGGCAGUUUAUAGGCAUCCAGAAGGAAAACCAGCUUAUACUGCAUCCUGAUGGGAGUCGCACGUCAUGUCGCAUUUGCCUCAGCUUGACUACUUGCAUGAGGCCUCGAAGAUGCAAUUCUCUGAUUCUUAGCUACUGAAGUUCAGAGCUAUUGCUUUCUUUUUGAAUCUUAUUUGCUAUCAAUUGCACCAUGAUCUUUCUUUUAAUCACCCAAUAGUGUUGAUUAACAACAACAACAACAACGACCCAGUAUAAUCCCACAAGUGAGGUCUGGGGAGGGUAAUAUGUACGCAGACCUUACCCCUACCCCGAAGGGCAGAGAGGCUGUUUCCAGGAGACAUAGUGUUGAUUAACAUGAAUGAUAUAUCUGUUGACAUAUCCACUGGGUGAUGAUCAUCAAAUCAAUCAUGUCAUUUGAAUUAGUUGUAAUAGGAGUGUAUUAUACAGCAAAUUUUAUUUGCAUUUGCAUCUGCGUCGACUGAUAAAUUGUAUGAAAAUUUUUUGAAGCUCAAAACUCUAUUAGUUCUCAUGAUUUCAU